This 250-nucleotide unclassified non-coding RNA is filed under the name uncultured fungus. Its description in RNAcentral is "sequence contains ITS1". Lineage: Eukaryota; Fungi. The record is from RNAcentral.
CUCUGAGAACUUCAGCCGCCGACGGUCCUCGGCACGAAAUGAAUCUCGGUUGCGAUGCCGACCGCACGAUAGUCGGCGUCGUUGUAGAUCUCGCCGUCGAUGGCGACGGCCAUCCCCUCCAAGUGCUCGGCGAGUCCGGGGAAGCGCUUGCCGAGCGACAAUUUCAACUCGAGAAUGCGCGACGCGUCGAUCGCGACCGUGUCGAGGCCGCCGGUGAAGCCGAGGAGAUCGUUUGGCAGAUGAACCGUCG